RNAcentral lists this long non-coding RNA (287 nucleotides) under Olea europaea (common olive). RNAcentral describes it as "long non-coding RNA (OEUR_LNC000035)". Lineage: Eukaryota; Viridiplantae; Streptophyta; Magnoliopsida; Lamiales; Oleaceae. The record is from RNAcentral.
CAAUAAACACUAAAUCCAACCCACUUAUCACAUAUUAUCACAAUCGGCCCAACACCAUUCAACCCAUAAUCAGUCCCAAAUAUCCAACCAAACUCGAUUAUAACCAAUCCAUUAACAUCAAAUACCCCACAGUUUCACCCGAUUUCUCGCUCACGACCACUCUCUUGCCGCUGCCGCCUCUAAUCACUAUCACGCCACCACUUCAUUAUCUAUUGUACCCAGACAUCCAGAGCACUACCGCUUCAUCGCCAUAGGCCACCACCACCAACCCAAGAUCAUACACUUCC